CUUUGAAUGAGCAAUUCCAUGACUCUCUUGAGUUUUCUAAAGGAUCAUCCUGACUGCUUUGGGAAUCACAGUUUCCCCCUUCCUCCAUAGUGAAGUCCUUUCUUCUGUCUUGUUUCCACCAGUUCUCUAGCAUCUAGGAUGGUGCCUCUCACAGAGUUAGCACUCAAUAAUUAUUUCCUGAAUGUGUUGGCCAGAAUUCUGUUUCAAGCUUUUUCUUAGGCUCAUGAUGAGUGUUGAAGGCAUUAUGACUCUCACCCAGAGGGACACCAUGUCUAGGAGCUUCUUCUCGUGUGGGCCCUGUUCUCCAGAUGUCUGAUGGAUAAGGAAAUUGAGACUCAAAGAGGACCCCCAUGGAGAAAGUAAUGAAGCUUGAAUUUAGACCCAAGAUCAUGUCCCUUUCACUUCCUCAGCCUGCCCAGGAAGUUUAUAGCGUGCUCAUGCCACAAACCCUGGAGCUGGAUACGCGCUCAAUUGGCUUGAAGACCUUGGGUCACACUCCACUCCAACCGUAGCUCCUGUUACCGACUCAGGAGCAAACAAACCAGCCCAGAAGUCACAGCAAAAACUUUUAGAAAACUUCUAAAGAGGUAGCUUCAAGGACAGGAAGAAGGGAUACAAGGCAGAGGAAGGCCUGCGGAGACGGCGCCUCAUUCUCUGCUCCCUGGCCCUGUGAAAACUCCUAAGAGCAUUUGGCCCUGUGGGGGAUUUCUGAAGCAACCCGGCGCAACCCCACCUUGGCAGAAACCCUCCCUUCUCUGUGCUCUUUUCCUGUGUUGUGACAGAUGCUGCUCUGAUAUCCUUGGUACCCAGCUCCCAAAGAAGAAAACAGAUCACCCAUCACUGGGUAAUUAUAGAGCAACUGAAAGGCCAUUUAGCUACUGUGUGAUAAGCAAUAGACUAUUUUAAUAAUAACCAAUUACCAUACAUUAUAGUAUAUCAUUUGGCAUUUGUUGAUCUACUGGGGUCUCACCUGUUCCUUCCUUUAUGGAGCAUUUUGUGGCUGUUCACACUUUCCCCAACAGAAGUUGUGCCACUUUCUAAUUGAAGCACUAUUUUUAGGAAAGAGUUAGGAAGUUUGUAGAGGUGGUGCAAAUUAUAUCAUGCCAAGUAGAAGGAUACAUUCUGCCAAGUGUCUUCUCUGACAGCUCUGCCAUUAUGCUGUGCUCAGGAGGAUAGAGAGUGAGAUUUGUUUCAUGAUCUGCAUUAGCCUUUCGACAUUAAGGGAAGUGUAAACCUGGAGGUCUCCUGCUGUCCAGGCAGACAUGUGGGCAAUCCAAACAGACACUGCUCUCUGCUGCUGACCAUUCCUUCCUGGCUGAGCUGCAUUCUCACUGCCUGGUGAGCAGGAAGUCUUGAGGCCUAGCAGCCCACUCCAAGGUCUGCCAUGGAUAGCAGAGCAGGCCCUGUCCAAGCCACAGAGGUUCUUCAAAGAGCCAGGGAAGAUGACCUUCUAAUCGCUAAGAUCUGCUCAGCGCAUUCCCCUAGCCUGGGCUCCCCUCUUUACAUUCACUUGCUCAGCCACUUCUCUAGGGCACAAGCCUGCCACCAAAUAGAUAGCCAGGCUGGUUCUGGGUGCAGUGGCCACCCUCACGUUUAUGUAUCCACUGUACUCUUUCCAUGAUCUCCCGCAUCCAGAGGCUUAGCUCUGAAUCCUUUCCUCCCAAGAAGAUGAUUAGAGUCCUCAUGAAAAUUGUCAACCCUUUUCACACACACAUAUUUAAGUUCAACCUCCAGUGAAACCCCCUGUUAUGAGCUGCCGGAUUUAUAAAGUGGUAGUGGUUUUUGUUUGGGACAGGCCUUUAGGAUAUCACAGUUUACUCUUCUGCCCUCACAAAGCAGAUAUGGUUUAAUCCAUUAGAUGCUAUCAUCACUGCCAAGUCCAUUCACUUUCCCCACAUCCGUGUCUACCACUCAGGCUGCCACCACCCCUCACCUGGAUUAUUGCAGUAUUCCUUGCUCCUGCCUUGCCCCGCAACCGUCAAUUCCCCAUACAGCAGCCAGACAGGUUUUGUUAAAAGUAUACUCAGAUCACGUCACUCUGCUGCUCAGACUGCCCUAAUGACUUUCUAUCUUAUUCAUAGUUAACAAUAAAUAGGUAUCUUUUUAAAAACCCACAAUAAAAAACAAAGGCAAAACUUACUAAUUACAAAGCCCUACGUAAUCUCUACCUUCCUCAAGCCACCCCCUUCCACAGUUACCUUGUUGUCCCUCUCCCUGAAUCAUCAAUGAGUUCACCUUGCUUACUCCAUCCAGUCCCACUGACCUAUUUGCAAUGUGAUUUGCAAUGUCUUUGGACACAAUGAGGCCAUUUUACUUGAAAAAAAAAAAUCUUUAAAUCAUUUGUGUUGCUUUUAAUAAAGAAAAUAA
Molecule: long non-coding RNA, 2367 nt
Filed under: Homo sapiens (human)
Lineage: Eukaryota; Metazoa; Chordata; Mammalia; Primates; Hominidae
Description: HSALNT0361579
Source: RNAcentral